This 153-nucleotide ribosomal RNA is filed under the name uncultured bacterium. RNAcentral describes it as "partial 16S ribosomal RNA". It matches the Rfam family "Bacterial small subunit ribosomal RNA", at positions 355 to 524 of the family's 1533-position model. The record is from RNAcentral.
UGGGGAAUCUUGCGCAAUGGGCGAAAGCCUGACGCAGCAACGCCGCGUGCGGGAUGAAGGCCCUCGGGUUGUAAACCGCUUUCAGUGGGGACGAACCAAGACGGUACCCACAGAAGAAGCCCCGGCCAACUACGUGCCAGCAGCCGCGGUAAU